Molecule: ribosomal RNA, 476 nt
Filed under: uncultured bacterium
Lineage: Bacteria
Description: partial 16S ribosomal RNA
Rfam family: Bacterial small subunit ribosomal RNA
Source: RNAcentral
GAUGAACGCUGGCGGCGUGCUUAACACAUGCAAGUCGAGCGAGUGAGUUCUUCGGAACGAUCUAGCGGCGGACGGGUGAGUAACACGUGGGCAACCUGCCUCAUAGAGGGGAAUAGCCUCCCGAAAGGGAGAUUAAUACCGCAUAAAAUUAUCGAGUGGCAUCACAUGAUAAUCAAAGGAGUAAUCCGCUAUGAGAUGGGCCCGCGGCGCAUUAGCUAGUUGGUGAGGUAACGGCCUACCAAGGCGACGAUGCGUAGCCGACCUGAGAGGGUGAUCGGCCACAUUGGGACUGAGACACGGCCCAGAACCCUACGGGAGGCAGCAGUGGGGAAUAUUGCACAAUGGGGGAAACCCUGAUGCAGCAACGCCGCGUGAGUGAUGAAGGUCUUCGGAUUGUAAAGCUCUGUCUUUGGGGACGAUAAUGACGGUACCCAAGGAGGAAGCCACGGCUAACUACGUGCCAGCAGCCGCGGUAA